ACGGGAGUAGCAAUACUCCAGUGGCGGACGGGUGAGUAACGCGUGAGAAUCUACCUUCAGGUCGGGGACAACCACGGGAAACGGUGGCUAAUACCGGAUAUGCCUUCGGGUAAAAGAUUUAUUGCCAGAAGAGGAGCUCGCGUCUGAUUAGCUAGUUGGUAGGGUAAAAGCCUACCAAGGCAUCGAUCAGUAGCUGGUCUGAGAGGACGAUCAGCCACACUGGGACUGAGACACGGCCCAGACUCCUACGGGAGGCAGCAGUGGGGAAUUUUCCGCAAUGGGCGAAAGCCUGACGGAGCAAGACCGCGUGAGGGAAGAAGGCUCUUGGGUCGUAAACCUCUUUUGUCAGGGAAGAACACAAUGACGGUACCUGACGAAUCAGCCUCGGCUAACUCCGUGCCAGCAGCCGCGGUAAUACGGAGGAGGCAAGCGUUAUCCGGAAUUAUUGGGCGUAAAGCGUCCGCAGGUGGCGAUUCAAGUCUGCGGUCAAAGACUGGGGCUUAACCCUGGAAAGGCCGUGGAAACUGAAGAGCUAGAGUGCAGUAGGGGUAGAGGGAAUUCCCGGUGUAGCGGUGAAAUGCGUAGAGAUUGGGAAGAACAUCGGUGGCGAAAGCGCUCUGCUGGACUGCAACUGACACUCAGGGACGAAAGCUAGGGGAGCGAAUGGGAUUAGAUACCCCAGUAGUCCUAGCCGUA
Molecule: ribosomal RNA, 696 nt
Filed under: uncultured cyanobacterium
Lineage: Bacteria; Bacillati; Cyanobacteriota
Description: bacterial SSU rRNA
Rfam family: Bacterial small subunit ribosomal RNA
Source: RNAcentral